Molecule: transfer RNA, 67 nt
Filed under: Delia antiqua (onion fly)
Lineage: Eukaryota; Metazoa; Arthropoda; Insecta; Diptera; Anthomyiidae
Description: tRNA-Ser
Source: RNAcentral
GAAGUAUGAUGCUCAAGUAAAAGCUGCUAACUUUUUUCUUUUAAUGGUUAAAUUCCAUUUAUACUUC